This 253-nucleotide ribosomal RNA is filed under the name uncultured bacterium. Its description in RNAcentral is "partial 16S ribosomal RNA". It matches the Rfam family "Bacterial small subunit ribosomal RNA", at positions 524 to 776 of the family's 1533-position model. The record is from RNAcentral.
UACAGAGGUCUCAAGCGUUGUUCGGAUUCAUUGGGCGUAAAGGGUGCGUAGGUGGCGCUGUAAGUCGGGUGUGAAAUUUCGGAGCUUAACUCCGAAACUGCAUUCGAUACUGCGGUGCUUGAGGACUGGAGAGGAGACUGGAAUUCAUGGUGUAGCAGUGAAAUGCGUAGAGAUCAUGAGGAAGACCAGUGGCGAAGGCGGGUCUCUGGACAGUUCCUGACACUGAGGCACGAAUGCCAGGGGAGCAAACGAG